RNAcentral lists this non-coding RNA (44 nucleotides) under Schistosoma margrebowiei. Lineage: Eukaryota; Metazoa; Platyhelminthes; Trematoda; Strigeidida; Schistosomatidae. The record is from RNAcentral.
ACCAGUUGAUGAGUCCCAAAUAGGAUGAAACACGUGUCCUGGAU